GUGGAAUGUUGAUAGUGCAGCUCUCGCUGGACUGUUUCAACGAGCUGGGAAUGUUGAAAUGGUUGAGGUAUAAUCUACUCCUUUAAACCUAAUUCGAAACUUCAGAUCUGUUCGUUUUUUUUUUUCUCUAAAUCUGAUUAAUGUAUAUAGGUUGUAUAUGACAAAAUCACCGGAAGAAGCAGGGGUUUCGGGUUUGUGACCAUGUCCUCCGUUAAAGAAGUUGAGGCAGCUACUCGACAGUUCAAUGGUUAUGUAAGUUCCAUAGAUUCACAUUCUUCUAUGAAUUUAGACAAUUUGCAACCUGUUUUUUCCUGUAAUCAUAGUAAGAAUGUAUUGAAAUUUCAGGAACUUGAGGGGAGACAACUUAGGGUAAACUCAGGGCCACCACCAAGUAGAGACGAGUCUCCUUUCAGAGGGUCAAGAGAUGGAGGCCGUGAUGGUGGCCGUGGUGGUGGUGGAUAUGGUGGAGGGAGAAAUCUGGACAACACAAAUAAAGUUUAUGUUGGAAAUCUUGCAUGGAGUGUGGACAAUUUGGCUCUUGAAACUUUGUUUCAAGAACAAGGAAAUGUUAUGGAAGCUAGGGUUGUUUAUGAUAGGGAUAGCGGAAGAUCAAAGGGUUUUGGUUUUGUGACU
Molecule: long non-coding RNA, 633 nt
Filed under: Lactuca sativa (garden lettuce)
Lineage: Eukaryota; Viridiplantae; Streptophyta; Magnoliopsida; Asterales; Asteraceae
Description: long non-coding RNA (LSAT_LNC001885)
Source: RNAcentral